UGGGGAAUAUUGGACAAUGGGCGCAAGCCUGAUCCAGCAAUGCCGCGUGUGUGAAGAAGGCCUGCGGGUUGUAAAGCACUUUCAAUAGUGAAGAAAAGUUUAGUGUAAAUAAUGCUAAGCUGUGACGUGAUCUAUAGAAGAAGCACCGGCUAACUCCGUGCCAGCAGCCGCGGUAAUACGGAGGGUGCGAGCGUUAAUCGGAAUCACUGGGCGUAAAGCGUGCGUAGGCGGCUCAUUAAGUCAGAUGUGAAAGCCCAGGGCUUAACCUUGGAAUUGCAUCUGAUACUGGUGAGCUAGAGUUUGAGAGAGGGAAGCAGAAUUUCCGGUGUAGCGGUGAAAUGCAUAGAGAU
RNAcentral lists this ribosomal RNA (350 nucleotides) under uncultured bacterium. Its description in RNAcentral is "bacterial SSU rRNA". It matches the Rfam family "Bacterial small subunit ribosomal RNA", at positions 355 to 697 of the family's 1533-position model. The record is from RNAcentral.